AGGGGCUUGACCACCUGGAAAGAACACAUCUACUCAGUGUCCCAAUUGGGAAUGUUGGCUGUUGCUUCGUUGACCAUCUUUACAAGGUUUACCACACUUUCAGGAACCCCUGGAGGGGGUAAGGGAAGAUUUUUUGGUGGAGGUCCCCGUAGAUAGGAUCUCUUGUCAAAUCGCCACUCUCCAAUUUUGCCAUAUGUUAGCU
RNAcentral lists this unclassified non-coding RNA (202 nucleotides) under Hevea brasiliensis (rubber tree). Lineage: Eukaryota; Viridiplantae; Streptophyta; Magnoliopsida; Malpighiales; Euphorbiaceae. The record is from RNAcentral.